GGUAUUGUUUUAUAUCACCCCACGAUAAGCCCCGGAAUCUUAUUGUGUAACAAGAUAUAGAAGCACGUA
Molecule: non-coding RNA, 69 nt
Organism: Staphylococcus cohnii subsp. cohnii
Lineage: Bacteria; Bacillati; Bacillota; Bacilli; Caryophanales; Staphylococcaceae
Source: Rfam